RNAcentral lists this ribosomal RNA (253 nucleotides) under uncultured bacterium. RNAcentral describes it as "partial 16S ribosomal RNA". It matches the Rfam family "Bacterial small subunit ribosomal RNA", at positions 524 to 776 of the family's 1533-position model. The record is from RNAcentral.
UACGGAGGGAGCUAGCGUUGUUCGGAAUUACUGGGCGUAAAGGGUGCGUAGGCGGGUCUUUAAGUCAGGGGUGAAAUCCUGGAGCUCAACUCCAGAACUGCCUUUGAUACUGAGGAUCUUGAGUUCGGGAGAGGUGAGUGGAACUGCGAGUGUAGAGGUGAAAUUCGUAGAUAUUCGCAAGAACACCAGUGGCGAAGGCGGCUCACUGGCCCGAUACUGACGCUGAGGCACGAAAGCGUGGGGAGCAAACAGG